GAAUGCUGACAUAAGUAACGAUAAAGCGGGUGAAAAGCCCGCUCGCCGGAAGACCAAGGGUUCCUGUCCAACGUUAAUCGGGGCAGGGUGAGUCGACCCCUAAGGCGAGGCCGAAAGGCGUAGUCGAUGGGAAACGGGUUAAUAUUCCCGUACUUGGUGUUACUGCGAAGGGGGGACGGAGAAGGCUAUGUUGGCCGGGCGACGGUUGUCCCGGUUUAAGCGUGUAGGUGUGUGUUCCAGGUAAAUCCGGUUCACUUUAACACUGAGGCGUGACGACGAGGCACUACGGUGCUGAAGCAACAAAUGCCCUGCUUCCAGGAAAAGCCUCUAAGCAUCAGGUAACAUCAAAUCGUACCCCAAACCGACACAGGUGGUCAGGUAGAGAAUACCAAGGCGCUUGAGAGAACUCGGGUGAAGGAACUAGGCAAAAUGGUGCCGUAACUUCGGGAGAAGGCACGCUGACACGUAGGUGAAGUGAUUUACUCAUGGAGCUGAAGUCAGUCGAAGAUACCAGCUGGCUGCAA
Molecule: ribosomal RNA, 524 nt
Filed under: Salmonella enterica
Lineage: Bacteria; Pseudomonadati; Pseudomonadota; Gammaproteobacteria; Enterobacterales; Enterobacteriaceae
Description: partial 23S ribosomal RNA
Rfam family: Bacterial large subunit ribosomal RNA
Source: RNAcentral